This 460-nucleotide ribosomal RNA is filed under the name uncultured bacterium. Its description in RNAcentral is "bacterial SSU rRNA". It matches the Rfam family "Bacterial small subunit ribosomal RNA", at positions 339 to 791 of the family's 1533-position model. The record is from RNAcentral.
CUACGGGAGGCAGCAGUGGGGAAUUUUGGACAAUGGGGGAAACCCUGAUCCAGCCAUGCCGCGUGCAGGAUGAAGGCCUUCGGGUUGUAAACUGCUUUUGUACGGAACGAAAAGGUCCUUUCUAAUAAAGAGGGCUCAUGACGGUACCGUAAGAAUAAGCACCGGCUAACUACGUGCCAGCAGCCGCGGUAAUACGUAGGGUGCGAGCGUUAAUCGGAAUUACUGGGCGUAAAGCGUGCGCAGGCGGUUAUAUAAGACAGAUGUGAGAUCCCCGGGCUCAACCUGGGAACUGCAUUAGUGACUGUAUAGCUGGAGUGCGGCAGAGGGGGAUGGAAUUCCGCGUGUAGCAGUGAAAUGCGUAGAUAUGCGGAGGAACACCGAUGGCGAAGGCAAUCCCCUGGGCCUGCACUGACGCUCAUGCACGAAAGCGUGGGGAGCAAACAGGAUUAGAUACCCCGGU